This 253-nucleotide ribosomal RNA is filed under the name uncultured bacterium. RNAcentral's name for it is "partial 16S ribosomal RNA". It matches the Rfam family "Bacterial small subunit ribosomal RNA", at positions 524 to 776 of the family's 1533-position model. The record is from RNAcentral.
UACGGAGGAUGCAAGCGUUAUCCGGAAUGAUUGGGCGUAAAGCGUCCGCAGGUGGCUGUGUAAGUCUGCUGUUAAAGAGUGAGGCUCAACCUCAUAAAGGCAGUGGAAACUACAUGGCUAGAGUGCGUUCGGGGCAGAGGGAAUUCCUGGCGUAGCGGUGAAAUGCGUAGAGAUCAGGAAGAACACCGGUGGCGAAAGCGCUCUGCUAGGCCGCAACUGACACUGAGGGACGAAAGCUAGGGGAGCGAAUGGG